GAAAUGCGAUAAGUAAUGUGAAUUGCAGAAUUCAGUGAAUCAUCGAAUCUUUGAACGCACCUUGCGCUCCUUGGUAUUCCUUGGAGCAUGCCUGUUUGAGUAUCAUGAAAUCUUCAAAGUAAAUCUUUUGUUAACUCAAUUGGUUUCUACUUUGGUAUUGGAGGUCUUUGCAGCUUCACACCUGCUCCUCUUUGUUCAUUAGCUGGAUCUCAGUGUUAUGCUUGGUUCCACUCGGCGUGAUAAGUUAUCUAUCGCUGAGGACACUGUAAAAGGUGGCCAAGGUAAAUGCAGAUGAACCGCUUCUAAUAGUCCAUUGACUUGGACAAUACUUUUAUGAUCUGAUAUCAAAUCAGGUAGGACUACCCGCUGAGCUUAAGC
This 378-nucleotide unclassified non-coding RNA is filed under the name plant metagenome. Its description in RNAcentral is "partial contains 5.8S ribosomal RNA, internal transcribed spacer 2, and large subunit ribosomal RNA". The stretch from base 1 to 105 matches the Rfam family "5.8S ribosomal RNA", at positions 50 to 154 of the family's 154-position model. The record is from RNAcentral.